UAAUUUACUUAACUAGUCCAAGAUUGAAGAAUAAAAUUAUUUUGAAUCUUUUGUUAAUAGUUAAUAGCUUUGAUGAGUACACUUAUGCAUACAUUAUUUUACACAUGUUCAAGUAUGUUGUAUAAACCCCAAAGUGGGAAUGCUCUGUCAAAUAUUACAGGUAUUUGCAACUUUGAUAGAUACUAAUUGCCCUCGAUAGAGGUAGUAAAAGCUUACACUCCACAGCCUUACUGAUGAUAUAUAUUAUAAAACUUUUAGUUCUUGCCAAUCUAAACGUGAAAAAUGGUAUUUCAUGGUAAUUUAAAUGCUUUUCUCGUUUUAUAACUGAGGUUGACAUCUAUCAAAAAAUUAUUUGAAUUUUUCUGAGAACUAUUAAUCUUUGAAUCCUUUUCUGUUGUUUAUCUUUUCCUUCUUCAUUUCUAAAAGUUCCUAUACAGAGAGAUUCACCCGUUAUCUGUGAUAUGAUUACAAAUGUCUGCCCUCCAAUUUGUUAUAUGUCUUUAGAUCCAAAUACCUUAUUUUUUGCCAUGUAGAAAUUUUUAAUUUGUAUGUGAUAAAAUGUUAAUACUUUAUGGAUUCUGGAUUUUCAGAAAUAAAAAGGUCAUCCUCA
Molecule: long non-coding RNA, 610 nt
Organism: Homo sapiens (human)
Lineage: Eukaryota; Metazoa; Chordata; Mammalia; Primates; Hominidae
Source: Ensembl